AAUGAACGCUGGCGGGAUGCCUUACACAUGCAAGUCGAACGGUAACGGGUCCUUCGAGAUGCCAACGAGUGGCAAACGGGCGAAUAACAUAUCCGAACGGGCCCUGUAUGGGGGAAUAACUGCUCAAAAGAACAUCUAAUCCCCCAUACAACCUGAGGGUGAACGGGGGGGAUCGCAAGACCUCUCGCAAUUGGAUCGGCCCACAUCAGAUUAGCUAGUUGGUGAGGUAAAGGCCCACCAAGGCAACGAUCUGUAGGUGGUCUGAGAGGACGACCCCCCACACUGGGACUGAGACACGGACCAGACUCCUACGGGAGGCAGCAGUGGGGAAUUUUGGACAAUGGGCGCAAGCCUGAUCCAGCCAUGCCGCGUGCAGGACGACUGCCCUCUGGUUGGAAACUGCCUUUGGCAUGGAAAAAAUCUUCUGGGCUAGUACCCCGGGAGAGAUGACUGUACCAGAAGAAUACGCACUCAGGCUAACUACAUGCCACCAGCCGCGACAAUACGGUAGGGUGCGAGCGCUAAUCUGAAUUACUGGACGGAAACCGUGCGCAGGCGGCUUUGCAAGACAGAUGUGAAGUCCCCUGACUCAACCAGCUGAACUGCCUUUGUGACUGCAAGGCUAGAGUACGGUUGAGGGGGAUGGAAUUCCUCGUGUAGCAGUGAAAUGCGUAGAUAUGCCGAGGAACACCAAUGGCGAAGGCAAUCCCCUGGGACUGUACUGACGCUCAUGCACGAAAGCGUGGGGAGCAAACAGGAUUAGAUACCCUGGUAGUCCACGCCCUAAACGAUGUCAUCUGGUUGUUGGGCGGCUUGGGGUUCAGUGACCAAGCUAACGCGUGAAGUUGGCCGCCUGGGGAGUACGGUCGCAAGGUUGAAACUCAAAGGAAUUGACGGGGACCCGCACAAGCGGUGGAUGAUGUGGUUUAAUUCGAUGCUACGCGAGGAACCUUACCUACCCUUGACAGGUCAAGAAUUGUGCAGGGAUGUGGAAGUUCUUGAAAGAGAACUCGAGCUCAGGCGUGGCAUGGCUGUGGUCAGCUCGUGUGGUGAGAGGUUGGGUCAAGUCCCGCAAGGAGCGCAACCCUUGUCAUUAGUUCAUUCGCAAGAGCACUCUAAUGAGACUGCCGGUGCCAAUCGGGAGGAAGGUGGGGAUGACGUCAGGUCCUCAUGGCCCUUAUGUGUAGGGCCACACACGUCAUACAAUGGCCGGUACAGAGGGCAGCCACCCCGCGAGGGGGAGCCAAUCCCGGAAACCCGUUUGUAGUCCGGAUGGUGUUUUGCAAUUGGCUUGCGGGAAGUGGGAAUCGUUGGUAUUCGCGGUUCAGCUUGCCGCGGUGAAUACGUUCCCGGGUCU
RNAcentral lists this ribosomal RNA (1357 nucleotides) under uncultured bacterium. Its description in RNAcentral is "bacterial SSU rRNA". It matches the Rfam family "Bacterial small subunit ribosomal RNA", at positions 28 to 1381 of the family's 1533-position model. The record is from RNAcentral.